GACUGUGGCUUUCAAAUGACAAAACCCUUGUCCAGAGAAUGCCACUGGGUGUGCAGCUGGAGCGAGGAUGAGCACAUCUGCCCUGCUUCUGUCUGAAUUCUUGAUGUGGAUAAGACCUCUUGCAAUGCCGUGGAGGAUGAGAUUUCCCGUCCUUUCUGUCACCCCCUGUCCUCAGUGGCGCGAUUAAAGAGCGCAUUCCCUGCACCGCACACCGGAGCACACACUGCUGACUCCCGACUGACUUCCAGCCUGCUCCCCAAACCGAGAGCAGCUCAGCUGGGAGCAGAGUGCAUUGGAGAGGCUCCUGCAGAUGUCUGCUGUUUGCUUUUCGUUUUUGCUCUUGGAAGAGCAACAUUGCCAGCUCCGGGCUCUCCCGGCAUCACUUCAGUGCAAGCAGCCGAGUGCCAGCGCUUCUGCCAGCUCCUGCCUCCUCCCCGAGCAGCGCCUGCAACUUUUGCUGCUCCACACAACGCCGAGUCCCCGGCAAGGCAGAGCUCCUCACAGCGGAUCUGGGGUAAGAAGAGACAACUCGGGAGGGAGAGAAGGUUUCCUAACCCGGUUUAAUGGAAGCUCUUUCCUUUGCAUGCUCU
Molecule: long non-coding RNA, 590 nt
Organism: Poecile atricapillus (Black-capped chickadee)
Lineage: Eukaryota; Metazoa; Chordata; Aves; Passeriformes; Paridae
Exons: 3
Source: RefSeq, a predicted model, not a curated record